CCUACGGGUGGCAGCAGUGAGGAAUAUUGGUCAAUGGCCGCAAGGCUGAACCAGCCAAGUAGCGUGAGGGAAGACGGCCCUAUGGGUUGUAAACCUCUUUUAUGCGGGGAUAAACGUGUCCACGUGUGGCUGUUUGCAGGUACCGCAUGAAUAAGGACCGGCUAAUUCCGUGCCAGCAGCGGCGGUAAUACGGAAGGUCCGGGCGUUAUCCGGAUUUAUUGGGUUUAAAGGGAGGGAAGGCCGGUCUUUAAGCGUGCUGUGAAAUGUUGUGGCUCAACCCUGGGAGUGCGGCGCGAACUGGGGAGCUUGAGUGCGCGGAAGGCAGGCGGAAUUCGUGGUGUAGCGGUGAAAUGCUUAGAUAUCACGAAGAACCCCGAUUGCGAAGGCAGCCUGCCGCAGCGUUACUGACGCUGAGGCUCGAAAGCGCGGGGAUCGAACAGGAUUAGAUACCCUGGUAGUC
RNAcentral lists this ribosomal RNA (460 nucleotides) under uncultured bacterium. RNAcentral's name for it is "partial 16S ribosomal RNA". It matches the Rfam family "Bacterial small subunit ribosomal RNA", at positions 338 to 795 of the family's 1533-position model. The record is from RNAcentral.